RNAcentral lists this ribosomal RNA (522 nucleotides) under uncultured microorganism. Its description in RNAcentral is "bacterial SSU rRNA". It matches the Rfam family "Bacterial small subunit ribosomal RNA", at positions 9 to 521 of the family's 1533-position model. The record is from RNAcentral.
GAGUUUGAUCUUGGCUCAGGAUGAACGCUAGCGGCAGGCUUAACACAUGCAAGUCGAGGGGCAGCGGGGAGGAAGCUUGCUUUCUCCGCCGGCGACCGGCGCACGGGUGAGUAACACGUAUGCAACCUGCCCCUGUCAGGGGACAACCCGCCGAAAGGCGGGCUAAACCCGCGUACAUGCCACCGGGGCAUCCCGGAGGCAGGAAAGGCUUCGGCCGGACAGGGAUGGGCAUGCGGCGCAUUAGGCAGUAGGCGGGGUAACGGCCCACCUAACCGACGAUGCGUAGGGGUUCUGAGAGGAAGGUCCCCCACACUGGUACUGAGACACGGACCAGACUCCUACGGGAGGCAGCAGUGAGGAAUAUUGGUCAAUGGUCGGGAGACUGAACCAGCCAAGCCGCGUGAGGGAGGAAGGUACAGAGUAUCGUAAACCUCUUUUGUCAGGGAACAAAGGCGGGACGUGUCCCCGGAUGAGUGUACCUGAAGAAAAAGCAUCGGCUAACUCCGUGCCAGCCGCCGCCGU